ACGAUCAGUAGGGGUUCUGAGAGGAAGGUCCCCCACAUUGGAACUGAGACACGGUCCAAACUCCUACGGGAGGCAGCAGUGAGGAAUAUUGGUCAAUGGGCGAGAGCCUGAACCAGCCAAGUAGCGUGCAGGACGACAGCCCUAUGGGUUGUAAACUGCUUUUAUAAGGGAAUAAAGUGAGUCUCGUGAGACUUUUUGCAUGUACCUUAUGAAUAAGGACCGGCUAAUUCCGUGCCAGCAGCCGCGGUAAUACGGAAGGUCCGGGCGUUAUCCGGAUUUAUUGGGUUUAAAGGGAGCGUAGGCCGGAGAUUAAGCGUGUUGUGAAAUGUAGACGCUCAACGUCUGCACUGCAGCGCGAACUGGUUUCCUUGAGUACGCACAAAGUGGGCGGAAUUCGUGGUGUAGCGGUGAAAUGCUUAGAUAUCACGAAGAACUCCGAUUGCGAAGGCAGCUCACUGGAGCGCAACUGACGCUGAAGCUCGAAAGUGCGGGUAUCGAACAGGAUUAGAUACCCUGGUAGUCCGCACGGUAAACGAUGGAUGCCCGCUGUUGGUCUGAAUAGGUCAGCGGCCAAGCGAAAGCAUUAAGCAUCCCACCUGGGGAGUACGCCGGCAACGGUGAAACUCAAAGGAAUUGACGGGGGCCCGCACAAGCGGAGGAACAUGUGGUUCAAUUCGAUGAUACGCGAGGAACCUUACCCGGGCUUGAAUUGCAGAGGAAGGAUUUGGAGACAAUGACGCCCUUCGGGGCCUCUGUGAAGGUGCUGCAUGGUUGUCGUCAGCUCGUGCCGUGAGGUGUCGGCUUAAGUGCCAUAACGAGCGCAACCCCUCUCCUUAGUUGCCAUCAGGUCAUGCUGGGCACUCUGGGGACACUGCCACCGUAAGGUGUGAGGAAGGUGGGGACGACGUCAAAUCAGCACGGCCCUUACGUCCGGGGCUACACACGUGUUACAAUGGCAGGUACAGAGAGACGGUCCCUUGCAAAAGGGAUCAAAUCCUCAAAGCCUGUCUCAGUUCGGACUGGGGUCUGCAACCCGACCCCACGAAGCUGGAUUCGCUAGUAAUCGCGCAUCAGCCAUGGCGCGGUGAAUACGUUCCCGGGCCUUGUACACACCGCCCGUCAAGCCAUGAAAGCCGGGGGCGCCUAAAGUCCGUGACCGUAAGGAGCGGCCUAGGGCGAAACUGGUAAUUGGGGCUAAGUCGAACAAGGUA
RNAcentral lists this ribosomal RNA (1211 nucleotides) under metagenome. RNAcentral's name for it is "bacterial SSU rRNA". It matches the Rfam family "Bacterial small subunit ribosomal RNA", at positions 276 to 1498 of the family's 1533-position model. The record is from RNAcentral.